GGGUAAGUCUUGUACGACCAGCUCCUGCUGAACCCCCCCAGAUCCGGAAGGAAGCAAGGGUAGGCGGUUGUAGCGGUGCGAUGCAAGGAGCUUACUCCUU
RNAcentral lists this signal recognition particle RNA (100 nucleotides) under Bacteroidales bacterium. RNAcentral's name for it is "signal recognition particle sRNA small type". It matches the Rfam family "Bacteroidales small SRP". From Rfam's summary of the family: The non-coding component of the signal recognition particle in Bacteroides The record is from RNAcentral. Lineage: Bacteria; Pseudomonadati; Bacteroidota; Bacteroidia; Bacteroidales.